UGAGCAAUCUGCCCUUCUCAUCGGAAUAAGCGUUGGAAACGACGUCUAAUGCCGAAUACGACCUCCUUUCGCAUGAUCGGAGGUGGAAAGCUCCGGCGGAGAAGGAUGAGCUCGCGGCCUAUCAGCUAGUUGGUGUGGGUAAAGGCCCACCAAGGCGACGACGGGUAGCCGGCCUGAGAGGGUGACCGGCCACACUGGGACUGAGACACGGCCCAGACUCCUACGGGAGCAGCAGG
This 236-nucleotide ribosomal RNA is filed under the name uncultured bacterium. Its description in RNAcentral is "partial 16S ribosomal RNA". It matches the Rfam family "Bacterial small subunit ribosomal RNA", at positions 118 to 354 of the family's 1533-position model. The record is from RNAcentral.